Molecule: non-coding RNA, 899 nt
Organism: Lactuca sativa (garden lettuce)
Lineage: Eukaryota; Viridiplantae; Streptophyta; Magnoliopsida; Asterales; Asteraceae
Source: RefSeq, a predicted model, not a curated record
CCUUCCCUAUGUUAUCUUCUUUUUCACGAGACCCUCCAUCUUUUGGGUGCCAUCUCCCACGUCGAUCCCAGAGACCUUCGGCCACCUCCAACCCUCUGUUUGUCACCGCCUCCGACGCCUAUCCCAGAGACCUUCCACCACCUCCGGUGCUCCGCUCGUUACCAUCUCCGGCUUUCCCUCUUCGAGCGUCGCACACAGAGCUAAACUCGCUCCAUAAAAAUCGCAUAUCCACUCCACAUCGCAGCACACCCUCUGACCUCCCAUCUACGGCAUGCCCGUUCGUCAUCAUCUCCGGCUGUCGUUGGUGAUGGCUGAUAGCGAUUUCGGUGUUGUGGAGGUUGGAAAAACACGAAGAAACAGCCCAAUCUUUAUGAUUUUCAGCUUGUGAACACAAGAUGCGAAGUCAAGCUUGCAUGUUGUUCGUUUGAUACAUCCUUUGCCAAGUAAUCCUUCAAAAAAAUUUCAAUUUUAUUUUGUAAGCACUUAUUUAAACAUUUGGAGAGUUUUUGGGCAACGAAGGAGAGGGGUUUGAAGUUCAGUGAAGACCCAGUGAUUGAUCGAAUACUCCAUGAAAUAAAGUCUGAUCUCAUAAGUGAAAGUUGCAAGACAGAUGAAGGAGGAUAGAGGAAGAAAGUACCCUCCACUGUGCAUACGACCCAUGGCGACGGAGAUGGAGAAUUGGCCACUGCUUGCUGACGCUCUGAGGACGGCUGCAAAACCCUAAUCCAGAAUGGGGAAGAGAAGGCUAGACUUGCGGCAAUUUAUAUUUUUUGUUAAUUUGGUAUUCAAUCUCUUGGAACUUGAUUGGAUGGACCUUUGUUAAUUUGGUACCGGACCAAAUUAUGUAAGAAGAGCAUUGGGCUUUUCUUUCAUUACUACUAAAAGACAAAAUUUCACAA